GACGAACGCUGGCGGUGUGCUUAACACAUGCAAGUCGAACGGUAAGGCCCUUUCGGGGGUACACGAGUGGCGAACGGGUGCGUAACACGUGAGUAACCUGCCCUCAUCUCUGGGAUAACAGUCGGAAACGGUUGCUAAUACUGGAUAUGAGCUUGCAAGGCAUCUUGUGGGUUGGAAAGAUUUUUUUUGGCUGGGGAUGGACUCGCGGCCUAUCAGCUUGUUGGUGGGGUAGUGGCUCACCAAGGCUUCGACGGGUAGCCGGCCUGAGAGGGCGACCGGCCACAUUGGGACUGAGAGUCGGCCCAAACUCCUACGGGAGGCAGCAGUGGGGAAUAUUGCACAAUGGACGGAAGUCUGAUGCAGCAACGCCGCGUGCGGGAUGACGGCCUUCGGGUUGUAAACCGCUUUCAAUUGUGACGAAGCUUUUUUGUGACGGUAGCAGUAGAAGAAGCACCGGCUAACUACGUG
This 468-nucleotide ribosomal RNA is filed under the name uncultured bacterium. RNAcentral describes it as "partial 16S ribosomal RNA". It matches the Rfam family "Bacterial small subunit ribosomal RNA", at positions 28 to 507 of the family's 1533-position model. The record is from RNAcentral.